GGGGAUGACUGGCUUUGACAGCGAGAUGAGUAGGACUGUAAGCAUGUCGAGCAUGGUGAGACGGCUCGUUAAUAUCCAAUUCACAAAUUUUUAUUCGGCGAGUCUAACUACGCUUUAGCUGCCUAAUCUAGGAUUAGUCUAGCUUUUGCUCAGGUGAUAGAUGAAGGUUGAUCGCUUCUAUCCCAUCGAGCAUCAUCAAAAGGAUGAACUAGCCAAUAGGGAUGUCUUGACUUAAAGGCGAAAUACAAAGGAUAAGGUUUCGUUUUGGGAAUGUAAGUUUCCCGACUUUACUCGAAAAUUAAUUACUUACUAAACAUGUAGAAAGCUUUCAGAUUCCUUGUUUGGACCAGGGUUCGAUUCCCUGCAUCUCCACUA
RNAcentral lists this transfer-messenger RNA (375 nucleotides) under bacterium. It matches the Rfam family "transfer-messenger RNA". Rfam says of the family: Bacterial tmRNA, also known as 10Sa RNA or SsrA, is named for its dual tRNA and mRNA-like properties. The record is from RNAcentral.